GACACCGUUUCGAGCGCACCGUAAUUAAUGUAAAUGCACUUGCUGGACGGGUUGCAGAGUCCACCUUCAUUGUAGGAAGGCCCUUGAGAAACGCAGGGCACCGAGAUGACGCCUCCGUGUUCAUCCCGCUUCGGAGGCUGUGGGAACAGUCCGAGUUUGAAGCCAGCUUGCUUUUGCUUUGCUUCCCACCGCCACCCCCUUUCCGCUCCGCGUAAAGGCUUUUGCUUUUGUCUUAAAAGGCAUCUGAGAACCAACCUUACGAAAUAGGCAAGGAGAGUGCUGAGGGGAAAUCACCCGAGCCUGCGGGAAGCCUGCGUUUCGACAGCGUGUACAUGCCACAGUGAGUUGAGGAGCGCGGUGCUCUGCGCGGCGCUCCGCGGGCUGGGUGUCGAACAGGAGGACCCUUUGCUGCGCGGGCCGGCCGUUGUCGAUCCGGAUCGGUCUGCGUUUUAUCGACAGCGUCUCUUGGGGGUGGGGGGUGGGGUGGGGAGGAGGGAGGGAGGGGGAAGAGUUGCUCUGCCUCUGAAGCCCUCCUUAGGUUUAUCUGCAUCGCUUCGCUCAAGUCCAGCGGGAGUGGCCGUCUCACCGCCCUGCAGGUCUCUGUCUGCACAGCUUUGCUUGGGAAAGUCCGCUCGCACCACGCAGCGCGCCGGGCCGAGCCCGGCUGCCGCCGGCGUACGGCGCUGCUGGGUCAGAGGCACCGCACCCCGCGCCUCUCCGAGAAGGGACACGCAGCCCCGGGCGCUGGCACGGUGUUAACUGCCAGCCUACGGUCUGGGUGGUUCGCUCCCCCGCUUCCCCCUUUCCUCACUCUCUUCUUCUUAAGGGAGAUUCACGGAGAAAGUCUCCGAUGAAUUUCUACGGCCGCUUUGUAAUCUCGCGUCGUUUACGGCAUGGAGUAAAGGAACCCGCAUGCACGCAGGGUCCAGUGGCAGUUUCCAGAGUGGGAAAACGAAGGGCUCUGUCGUUUGGAGCCAAUAGUUUUUCAGGGGUCGUGACUACGAGGCAGCUCUCCGAGUCGGCUCCAAAGGGAGGGAGGAAGGAACGCAGGGAGGGUCACUACACUGAGGCUUUCCCACGGUCGCUCCACCACCUCCUUAACACCGGGAUAGCGAAACACCCGUGGAGAGAGGUGGUGAUAAUCAUAACAUUGUGCAUUAUCAUGUUAGUCUUUAUGGGAGCACAAGACAGGUCUGCUGUGAUUAUCAGAACUCUGCAAGCUUGGAAGGAAAGCAUGUGUUUUUUAGAUACAAGGAAAAUAAUUAAAGAAGAAAACAGCUGUGUAACAAUGUGGCUAUGGCACAAUGACACCCAAUUGGAUUUCUAAUAAAUGAUUAAAUU
This is a long non-coding RNA of Anser brachyrhynchus (Pink-footed goose), 1341 nucleotides long. The record is from Ensembl. NCBI's taxonomy places the organism in Eukaryota, Metazoa, Chordata, Aves, Anseriformes, Anatidae.